AUUGAACGCUGGCGGAAUGCUUUACACAUGCAAGUCGAACGGCAGCACGGACUUCGGUCUGGUGGCGAGUGGCGAACGGGUGAGUAAUGUAUCGGAACGUGCCCAGUCGUGGGGGAUAACGUAGCGAAAAUUACGCUAAUACAGCAUACGAUCUAUGGAUGAAAGCGGGGGAACGCAAGACUGCGCGCGGUUGGCGCGCCCGAUAUCAGACUAGGUAGCUGGUGGGGCAAAGGACCACCAAGCCAACGAUCUGUAGCUGGUCUGAGAGGACGACCAGCCACACUGGAACUGAGACACGGUCCAGACUCCUACGGGAGGCAGCAGUGGGGAAUUUUGGACGAUGGGCGAAAGCCUGAUCCAGCCAUUCCGCGUGCAGGAUGAAGGCCCUCGGGUUGUAAACUGCUUUUGUACAGAACGAAAAGGUUUCUACUAAUACUAGGAGCUCAUGACGGUACUGUAAGAAUAAGCACCGGCUAACUACGUGCCAGCAGCCGCCGUAA
This 500-nucleotide ribosomal RNA is filed under the name uncultured bacterium. RNAcentral describes it as "partial 16S ribosomal RNA". It matches the Rfam family "Bacterial small subunit ribosomal RNA", at positions 30 to 523 of the family's 1533-position model. The record is from RNAcentral.